AAAGUCCCUAGACUUAACCAUUUUCAAGUGACAAAGCCACCAAUCAAAUCACAUUCAAAACAAAAAAAUUCCGCUUCAAAGUCCCUAGACUGAACUAUUUUCAACCAACUAAGUCACCUAACAAACCACAUUCUAAACAAAAAAAAUUCCCUUCAAAGUCCCUAUAUGUAACCAUUUUCAAGUGACUAAUCCACCAACCAAACCACAUUCUAAAAA
RNAcentral lists this long non-coding RNA (216 nucleotides) under Capsicum annuum. RNAcentral's name for it is "long non-coding RNA (CANN_LNC012533)". The record is from RNAcentral. Lineage: Eukaryota; Viridiplantae; Streptophyta; Magnoliopsida; Solanales; Solanaceae.